UAGUGCUUGGAUUAGAAUUUCCUUGCGCUAGUGGGGGAAAAUCCUUAACCCAUAAAAAGGAUCCAGAUUAACCCCCCUGUUUGUUAUGUACCACAGCACAACCAGCUGUUACCGCUGUCUCUGUCUCUCACGAAACCCCAAACCAUAAAAUCCCCAAUUAUCAAUAAAACCUUUAAAAUCCUUUCUGAUUGAAAUUUCGUCAAUCUCACUUCUGAACCUCCCUUAGCCAUGGACGCUCAGAGAGCUCUGCUAGACGAGCUUAUGGGUUCAGCUCGUAAUUUGACGGAGGAAGAGAGAAAGGGGUACAAGGAAAUUACAUGGGACAGUAAGGAGGUUUGCGCUUGCUAUAUGGUUCGGUUUUGUCCGCACGAUCUCUUCGUCAAUACGCGGAGCGAUCUGGGACCGUGCCCUAGAAUACAUGAUCAAAAGUUGAAAGAAAGUUUUGAGAAGUCCCCAAGACAUGAUGCAUAUGUGCCAAAAUUUGAAGCUGAACUUGCUCAGUUUUGCGAAAAAUUGGUGAUGGACUUGGAUAGAAGAGUUAGGCGGGGGCGAGAACGCCUUGCUCAAGAGGUGGAACCCACCCCAGGACCUCCCCUAUCAGCUGAAAAAUCUGAACAGUUUUCCGUGCUGGAAGAAAAAAUAAAGAACCUGCUGGAGCAAGUGGAGGCCCUUGGUGAAGCUGGGAAGGUGGAUGAAGCUGAAGCACUCAUGAGAAAGGUGGAGGUGCUUAACGCUGAGAAGACAGCCUUGACCCAACAACCUCCGAAUGAUAAGAUGUUGAUGCUUGCUCAGGAGAAAAAGAUGGCUCUUUGUGAGGUCUGUGGUUCUUUUCUUGUUGCAAAUGAUGCGGCUGAGAGAACCCAGUCUCACAUCACAGGGAAGCAGCACAUUGGUUAUGGCAUGGUCAGGGAUUUCAUCGCCGAGUACAAGGAAGCUAAGGAGAAGGCAAGGGAAGAGGAAAACUUAGCUAGGGAGAAAGAAGCGGAGGAACGAAGGAAGCAAAGGGAGAAGGAUACUGAGAGGAGGAGAAGUGAUUCAGGUGACAGGGACAAGAAUCAUGAUCGUGAUCGAGAUAGGGAGCAGGGUAGAUACCGAGAACGAGACAGAGAUCGUGAAAGGUCUAGAGACUGGAAUGCUAGAGGUAAUCGGGAUGGAGGAAGAGGGGAUUGGAGGUUCAGGAAUGGAAGGGAAGGAGGCAGGGAUAGAUACCGAGAUCGGAGCAGGUCUCGUUCACCUGAUAGGCAUGGUCACAGAAGGUCACCUAGAAGUCCAGUUCGUCCGUAUUAGUGGAUUGUGUCGAUAGAUUUCUGAGCUUUAAAAUUAAAUGAGCUUUGUUGAUACUAUACCAUCUUCCUUUGUUGAGACUAUAUCAUCUCCAUUUCAUCAAUUUUGUUAAUGGAGAAAAGGGUUGAGAGUUGGGGUUAGUUUUGGAGUUAUCAGGAUCAGACAGGUAUAGGUAAUUACUUUGUCUUUGCAGAGUUAUUCUUUAGCAGAAAUGUUGUUCCACUUGCAUGAAAAUCUACUUCAGUGGGCUGGGAUUCAAGGUUAUGCCUUUUGGCAACUUUAAACUUGCAAUUUUGUGGGUGACUGGAGGUAACCGCAAGUUAUAAUCUGUAGAGUAGCUUGUUUCUAUUUAGUUUGCAGGAAAAGGCAGGUAAUCUGGUGAACCUUGAUGGUCAGAUUGCUGCUAGUAAGUAGAUAUUUUAUGCUAAGGAGUGGUUUGUGCAGGAAAAUAAACUUACAAAUAGUUGCUGCUUGUGGAACUACUAAUAUUCAAAGAACACAGGAAAUGAGAAACCGAAUGUAACUACAUUUGGAUUGGAGGACCGCAGGUGUGACCCGUGUCUGCAAUUCACAAUUGAAAACAUUAUUAGGUAAUUUGGCUAGAUAUGAAUUGUUUGACACUGUAAAGUAUUAGAUUAACAUUUACUGAAGUAAAAUUGUUUUGGAGCAAAGGAUAUGUCAUGGUAAACAUUGCAACAAUACCCAAGGAUAGCUUGGCAUAUAUUAU
Molecule: RNA transcript, 2011 nt
Organism: Alnus glutinosa
Lineage: Eukaryota; Viridiplantae; Streptophyta; Magnoliopsida; Fagales; Betulaceae
Exons: 9
Source: RefSeq, a predicted model, not a curated record